RNAcentral lists this ribosomal RNA (478 nucleotides) under uncultured bacterium. Its description in RNAcentral is "partial 16S ribosomal RNA". It matches the Rfam family "Bacterial small subunit ribosomal RNA", at positions 28 to 523 of the family's 1533-position model. The record is from RNAcentral.
GACGAACGCUGGCGGCGUGCUUAACACAUGCAAGUCGAACGGUAAGGCCCUUCGGGGUACACGAGUGGCGAGCGGGUGAGUAACACGUGGGUGAUCUGCCCUGCACUUCGGGAUAAGCCUGGGAAACUGGGUCUAAUACCGGAUAGGACCACUGCCUGCAUGGGUGGUGGUGGAAAGCUUUUGCGGUGUGGGAUGGGCCCGCGGCCUAUCAGCUUGUUGGUGGGGUGAUGGCCUACCAAGGCGACGACGGGUAGCCGGCCUGAGAGGGUGACCGGCCACACUGGGACUGAGAUACGGCCCAGACUCCUACGGGAGGCAGCAGGGGGGAAUAGUGCACAAUGGGCGCAAGCCUGAUGCAGCGACGCCGCGUGAGGGAUGACGGCCUUCGGGUUGUAAACCUCUUUCAGCACCGACGAAGCGCAAGUGACGGUAGGUGCAGAAGAAGGACCGGCCAACUACGUGCCAGCAGCCGCCGUAA